Molecule: ribosomal RNA, 312 nt
Filed under: Triticum aestivum (bread wheat)
Lineage: Eukaryota; Viridiplantae; Streptophyta; Magnoliopsida; Poales; Poaceae
Description: partial small subunit ribosomal RNA
Source: RNAcentral
AUGACAGUGUCCAAUUUUGUUUCUUUUUAUUGUUUAUUAUUAUUAUUGUUAUACAUGUUGUACGGGCGCUAUUUAUAUGUCACAUAUAUGCAUUUGGCAACAUACAAAUUUGGGUACGUGGCUUCGGCGUUUGUUUAUGGAUUUCACGGUAAGAAGAUUCUUGUGUUGAACACAUGCACUGAAGAGGUGCACAUGAGUAGUAUUUCUUUACUUGUGAAAAGAAGAAAUACCGGUACAUGUUGUGUCGAGCAUCUGUACGAUGGACCACUCUUUACUUUGCACUUAAAAAGGCAGGUAUAUGUUUUUCUUUAA